This 465-nucleotide ribosomal RNA is filed under the name uncultured bacterium. RNAcentral describes it as "partial 16S ribosomal RNA". It matches the Rfam family "Bacterial small subunit ribosomal RNA", at positions 28 to 507 of the family's 1533-position model. The record is from RNAcentral.
GACGAACGCUGGCGGCGUGCUUAACACAUGCAAGUCGUACGGUAAGGCCCUUUCGGGGGUCCACGAGUGGCGAACGGGUGAGUAACACGUGAGUAACCUGCCCACAACUUUGGGAUAACGCUAGGAAACUGGUGCUAAUACUGGAUAUGUGCUCCUGCUGCAUGGUGGGGGUUGGAAAGCUCCGGCGGUUGUGGAUGGACUCGCGGCCUAUCAGCUUGUUGGUGGGGUAGUGGCCUACCAAGGCGGCGACGGGUAGCCGGCCUGAGAGGGUGACCGGCCACAUUGGGACUGAGAUACGGCCCAGACUCCUACGGGAGGCAGCAGUGGGGAAUAUUGCACAAUGGGCGCAAGCCUGAUGCAGCAACGCCGCGUGCGGGAUGACGGCCUUCGGGUUGUAAACCGCUUUCAGCAGGGGCGAAGCUUUUUGUGACGGUACCUGCAGAAGAAGCACCGGCUAACUACGUG